This 484-nucleotide ribosomal RNA is filed under the name uncultured bacterium. Its description in RNAcentral is "partial 16S ribosomal RNA". It matches the Rfam family "Bacterial small subunit ribosomal RNA", at positions 30 to 507 of the family's 1533-position model. The record is from RNAcentral.
AUUGAACGCUGGCGGCAUGCCUUACACAUGCAAGUCGAACGGCAGCGCGGGAGCAAUCCUGGCGGCGAGUGGCGAACGGGUGAGUAAUACAUCGGAACGUGCCCAAUCGUGGGGGAUAACGCAGCGAAAGCUGUGCUAAUACCGCAUACGAUCUACGGAUGAAAGCAGGGGAUCGCAAGACCUUGCGCGAAUGGAGCGGCCGAUGGCAGAUUAGGUAGUUGGUGAGGUAAAGGCUCACCAAGCCUUCGAUCUGUAGCUGGUCUGAGAGGACGACCAGCCACACUGGGACUGAGACACGGCCCAGACUCCUACGGGAGGCAGCAGUGGGGAAUUUUGGACAAUGGGCGAAAGCCUGAUCCAGCCAUGCCGCGUGCAGGAUAAAGGCCUUCGGGUUGUAAACUGCUUUUGUACGGAACGAAACGGUCUUUUCUAAUAAAGAAGGCUAAUGACGGUACCGUAAGAAUAAGCACCGGCUAACUACGUG